This 798-nucleotide ribosomal RNA is filed under the name uncultured bacterium. RNAcentral's name for it is "bacterial SSU rRNA". It matches the Rfam family "Bacterial small subunit ribosomal RNA", at positions 524 to 1335 of the family's 1533-position model. The record is from RNAcentral.
UACGUAGGGUGCGAGCGUGUCCGGAAUUACUGGCGUAAAGAGCUCGUAGGUGGUUUGUCGCGUCGUCUGUGAAAUUCCGGGGCUUAACUCCGGCGUGCAGGCGAUACGGGCAAUACUUGAGUGCUGUAGGGGAGACUGGAAUUCCUGGUGUGCGGUGAAAUGCGCAGAUAUCAGGAGGAACACCAAUGGCGAAGGCAGGUCUCUGGGCAGAACUGACGCUGAGGAGCGAAAGCAUGGGUAGCGAACAGGAUUAGAUACCCUGGUAGUCCUGCCGUAAACGGUGGGCGCUAGGUGUAGGGGUCUUCCACGACUUCUGUGCCGUAGCUAAGCAUUAAGCGCCCCGCCUGGGGAGUACGGCCGCAAGGCUAAAACUCAAAGGAAUUGACGGGGCCCGCACAAGCGGCGGAGCAUGUGGAUUAAUUCGAUGCAACGCGAAGAACCUUACCGGGCUUGACAUACACCGGACCGGGCCAGAGAUGGUCUUUCCCUUGUGGCUGGUGUUCAGUGGUGCAUGGUUGUCGUCAGCUCGUGUCGUGAGAUGUUGGGUUAAGUCCCGCAACGAGCCAACCCUUGUCUUAUGUUGCCAGCACGUGAUGGUGGGGACUCAUGAGAGACUGCCGGGGCAACUCGGAGGAAGGUGGGGAUGACGUCAAAUCAUCAUGCCCCUUAUGUCCAGGGCUUCCACAUGCUACAAUGGUCGGUACAACGCGUCGCGACAUCGUAAGGUGGAGCUAAUCGCUGAAGCCGGCCUCAGUUCGGAUUGGGGUCUGCAACUCGACCCCAUGAAGUCGGAGUCGC